This 491-nucleotide ribosomal RNA is filed under the name uncultured bacterium. RNAcentral's name for it is "partial 16S ribosomal RNA". It matches the Rfam family "Bacterial small subunit ribosomal RNA", at positions 29 to 506 of the family's 1533-position model. The record is from RNAcentral.
AGUGAACGCUGGCGGUAGGCCUAACACAUGCAAGUCGAACGGCAGCACAGUAAGAGCUUGCUCUUACGGGUGGCGAGUGGCGGACGGGUGAUGAAUACAUCGGAAUCUACGUUUGCGUGGGGGGUAACGUAGGGAAACUUACGCUAAUACCGCAUACGACCUACGGGUGAAAGCAGGGGAUCUUCGGCCCUUGCGCGAUUGAAUGAGCCGAUGUCGGAUUAGCUAGUUGGCGGGGUAAAGGCCCACCAAGGCGACGAUCCGUAGCUGGUCCGAGAGGAUGAUCAGCCACACUGGACCUGAGAAACGGUCCAGAUCCCUACGGGAGGCAGCAGUGGGGAAUAUGGGACAAUGGGCGCAAGCCUGACCCAGCCAUACCGCGUGGGUGAAGAAGGCCUUCGGGUUGUAAAGCCCUUUUGUUGGGAAAGAAAAGCAGCAGGUUAAUACCCCGCUGUUCGGACGGUACCGAAAGAAUAAGCACCGGCGAACUUCGU